RNAcentral lists this ribosomal RNA (499 nucleotides) under uncultured Glomeromycotina. Its description in RNAcentral is "partial small subunit ribosomal RNA". It matches the Rfam family "Eukaryotic small subunit ribosomal RNA", at positions 591 to 1092 of the family's 1831-position model. The record is from RNAcentral. Lineage: Eukaryota; Fungi; Glomeromycota.
CCAAUAGCGUAUAUUAAAGUUGCUGCAGUUAAAAAGCUCGUAGUUGAAUUUCGGGACCAAUAUGUCGGUCGUGCCUCGGUACGUACUGGCAUCGUUGGUUUCUCCCUUCUGACGAACCAUGAUGUCAUUUAUUUGGUGUCGUGGGGAAUCAGGACUGUUACUUUGAAAAAAUUAGAGUGUUUAAAGCAGGCUCACGCUUGAAUACAUUAGCAUGGAAUAAGGAAAUAGGACGUUUGAUUCUAUUUUGUUGGUUUCUAGGAUCGACGUAAUGAUUAAUGGGGAUAGUUGGGGGCAUUAGUAUUAAAUUGUAAGAGGUGAAAUUCUUGGAUUUAUUUAAGACUAACUACUGCGAAAGCAUUUGCCAAGGAUGUUUUCAUUAAUCAAGAACGAAAGUUAGGGGAUCGAAGACGAUCAGAUACCGUCGUAGUCUUAACCAUAAACUAUGCCGACUAGGGAUCGGAUGAUGUUAAUUUUUUAAUGACUCAUUCGGCGCCUUACG